GACGAACGCUGGCGGCGUGCUUAACACAUGCAAGUCAAACGGAAAGGCCCUGCUUUUGUGGGGUGCUCGAGUGGCGAACGGGUGAGUAACACGUGAGUAACCUGCCCUUGACUUUGGGAUAACUUCAGGAAACUGGGGCUAAUACCGGAUAGGAGCUCCUGCUGCAUGGUGGGGGUUGGAAAGUUUCGGCGGUUGGGGAUGGACUCGCGGCUUAUCAGCUUGUUGGUGGGGUAGUGUCUUACCAAGGCUUUGACGGGUAGCCGGCCUGAGAGGGUCACCGGCCACAUUGGGACUGAGAUACGGCCCAGACUCCUACGGGAGGCAGCAGUGGGGAAUAUUGCACAAUGGGCGGAAGCCUGAUGCAGCAAAGCCGCGUGCGGGAUGACGGCCUUCGGGUUGUAAACCGCUUUCGCCUGUGACGAAGCGUGAGUGACGGUAAUGGGUAAAGAAGCACCGGCUAACUACGUG
RNAcentral lists this ribosomal RNA (468 nucleotides) under uncultured bacterium. RNAcentral's name for it is "partial 16S ribosomal RNA". It matches the Rfam family "Bacterial small subunit ribosomal RNA", at positions 28 to 507 of the family's 1533-position model. The record is from RNAcentral.